RNAcentral lists this ribosomal RNA (471 nucleotides) under uncultured bacterium. RNAcentral's name for it is "bacterial SSU rRNA". It matches the Rfam family "Bacterial small subunit ribosomal RNA", at positions 328 to 793 of the family's 1533-position model. The record is from RNAcentral.
CGCUAUCACUCCUACGGGAGGCAGCAGUAGGGAAUCUUCCACAAUGGGCGCAAGCCUGAUGGAGCAACACCGCGUGAGUGAAGAAGGGUUUCGGCUCGUAAAGCUCUGUUGUUAAAGAAGAACACGUAUGAGAGUAACUGUUCAUACGUUGACGGUAUUUAACCAGAAAGUCACGGCUAACUACGUGCCAGCAGCCGCGGUAAUACGUAGGUGGCAAGCGUUAUCCGGAUUUAUUGGGCGUAAAGCGAGCGCAGGCGGUUUUUAAGUCUGAUGUGAAAGCCUUCGGCUCAACCGAAGAAGUGCAUCGGAAACUGGAAACUUGAGUGCAGAAGAGGACAGUGGAACUCCAUGUGUAGCGGUGAAAUGCGUAGAUAUAUGGAAGAACACCAGUGGCGAAGGCGGCUGUCUGGUCUGUAACUGACGCUGAGGCUCGAAAGUAUGGGUAGCAAACAGGAUUAGAUACCCUGGUAG